GUUGUUGGGUAGGGGAGCGUUCUGUAAGCCUGUGAAGGUGUGUCGUGAGGCAUGCUGGAGGUAUCAGAAGUGCGAAUGCUGACAUAAGUAACGAUAAAGCGGGUGAAAAGCCCGCUCGCCGGAAGACCAAGGGUUCCUGUCCAACGUUAAUCGGGGCAGGGUGAGUCGACCCCUAAGGCGAGGCCGAAAGGCGUAGUCGAUGGGAAACGGGUUAAUAUUCCCGUACUUGGUGUUACUGCGAAGGGGGGACGGAGAAGGCUAUGUUGGCCGGGCGACGGUUGUCCCGGUUUAAGCGUGUAGGUGUGUGUUCCAGGUAAAUCCGGUUCACUUUAACACUGAGGCGUGACGACGAGGCACUACGGUGCUGAAGCAACAAAUGCCCUGCUUCCAGGAAAAGCCUCUAAGCAUCAGGUAACAUCAAAUCGUACCCCAAACCGACACAGGUGGUCAGGUAGAGAAUACCAAGGCGCUUGAGAGAACUCGGGUGAAGGAACUAGGCAAAAUGGUGCCGUAACUUCGGGAGAAGGCACGCUGACACGUAGGUGAAGUGAUUUACUCAUGGAGCUGAAGUCAGUCGAAGAUACCAGCUGGCUGCAACUGUUUAUUAAAAACACAGCACUGUGCAAACACGAAAGUGGACGUAUACGGUGUGACGCCUGCCCGGUGCCGGAAGGUUAAUUGAUGGGGUCAGCGCAAGCGAAGCUCCUGAUCGAAGCCCCGGUAAACGGCGGCCGUAACUAUAACGGUCCUAAGGUAGCGAAAUUCCUUGUCGGGUAAGUUCCGACCUGCACGAAUGGCGUAAUGAUGGCCAGGCUGUCUCCACCCGAGACUCAGUGAAAUUGAACUCGCUGUGAAGAUGCAGUGUACCCGCGGCAAGACGGAAAGACCCCGUGAACCUUUACUAUAGCUUGACACUGAACAUUGAGCCUUGAUGUGUAGGAUAGGUGGGAGGCUUUGAAGCGUGGACGCCAGUCUGCGUGGAGCCGACCUUGAAAUACCACCCUUUAAUGUUUGAUGUUCUAACGUGGACCCGUAUCCGGGUUGCGGACAGUGUCUGGUGGGUAGUUUGACUGGGGCGGUCUCCUCCUAAAGAGUAACGGAGGAGCACGAAGGUUGGCUAAUCCUGGUCGGACAUCAGGAGGUUAGUGCAAUGGCAUAAGCCAGCUUGACUGCGAGCGUGACGGCGCGAGCAGGUGCGAAAGCAGGUCAUAGUGAUCCGGUGGUUCUGAAUGGAAGGGCCAUCGCUCAACGGAUAAAAGGUACUCCGGGGAUAACAGGCUGAUACCGCCCAAGAGUUCAUAUCGACGGCGGUGUUUGGCACCUCGAUGUCGGCUCAUCACAUCCUGGGGCUGAAGUAGGUCCCAAGGGUAUGGCUGUUCGCCAUUUAAAGUGGUACGCGAGCUGGGUUUAGAACGUCGUGAGACAGUUCGGUCCCUAUCUGCCGUGGGCGCUGGAGAACUGAGGGGGGCUGCUCCUAGUACGAGAGGACCGGAGUGGACGCAUCACUGGUGUUCGGGUUGUCAUGCCAAUGGCACUGCCCGGUAGCUAAAUGCGGAAGAGAUAAGUGCUGAAAGCAUCUAAGCACGAAACUUGCCCCGAGAUGAGUUCUCCCUGAGACUUAGAGUCUCCUGAAGGAACGUUGAAGACGACGACGUUGAUAGGCCGGGUGUGUAAGCGCAGCGAUGCGUUGAGCUAACCGGUACUAAUGAACCGUGAGGCUUAACCUUAC
This 1729-nucleotide ribosomal RNA is filed under the name Salmonella enterica subsp. enterica serovar Heidelberg str. SARA40. Its description in RNAcentral is "bacterial LSU rRNA". It matches the Rfam family "Bacterial large subunit ribosomal RNA", at positions 1220 to 2925 of the family's 2925-position model. Lineage: Bacteria; Pseudomonadati; Pseudomonadota; Gammaproteobacteria; Enterobacterales; Enterobacteriaceae. The record is from RNAcentral.